ACACCUCACUGCUUCAUCCCCACCUCUAAUUCUCUCUAGCGAUUCUCUGUGUGUGGGGUUUCAAAUUAAGGUUAGGGUUUCAAAUUGGGGCUUAGGGUUUCGAAUUGGGGGCUCGGGUCAGGAGGAAGACGAAGGUCUGACUAUCUCUUCACUCUGUCUCUCUCUCAACCUUCAAUCUUGAACGAUUCACUCACAGUCUCUGAUUUUAAAUUGGGAUUUUAAUGCAGGUUCGGAUGAGUUCAAGUUCGGUUUCGGGAAAUCCCGAAAUAUCGAAAAUAUUUCAGGAAUCCCGAACUUCGGGAAUAUCCAAAUUUUGGUUUGAGAUCGAUCGUCAGAUUUUCGUCCCUAAAAUAAUAGGUUUGGGACUUGAUAUGCAGUUUUCGGUUCGAUAUCCCAUACCGAACCAGCCCUAAGUACCAGACUUGUUCUCAAGGAAACAUUAAGCUAUAACAAAAUAUUGCCGUACGUCAACUUAAUAUUUAACGCUUGCUUAGAUUUUUUUCUGGUUUUAUUCAUUUAAUUAUGUGUACACAAUGUAGCGAUGGUUAAUACCUGUCCUCCUCUCUUUAGGUUCUUAUUUUGAGAGCCUGUGAGGACUAAAUGCAUAUUGAUCACAAGAUUAUAUUAGCUUAGAUCUAAAUGCUUAAAAUAUUUCACAACUUAAUAAAGCAAAACCAACUUAAAAUCCAUGAAUUAUUAAAAACCCAUUUUCUUAUUUUGCUUUAUUAAUUAAGGUGUUAAAUAUUUGAAGCCAUUAGAUAUAAACCAAUAUAAUCUUGUGGCUAAUAUGUAUUUAGUCCUCACUUGUCCUCGCAAUGAGGACCUUAGGAGAGUAGGACUAAGGUUAAUACAUGCACAUAAAGCUAAGUUUGGAAGAUUUUUUUUUUCACGGUGUUUAUGAGAUUUGAACUCGUGAACUUCUCAAACAAAGUCUAACGAAUGAACUCGGCUGACUAAUAGAGUUUAGUUUGGUAUUAUAUUUAUACUAAUCAAACUAAGUUUUCAUUUGGAGAAAAAAAAAAGUUUUCAAAUAGUGUUGUAGUCAUAUUUAGAAUAGGAAUGUGAUUGUGUAAAUCCUAGUGUAUCUAGGGAUAUCUUUGAAUAUUCCCUUCAGUAGUUAAUAUCCUAUUAGAGUUGUAAUCCUAAAAGGGUAAGAAUUUAACAUAUCCUACUACUAUAAAUAAAGGCACAAUGGGGUGAUACAACGCACAUCUCACAAUUAAAUUUCUCUCUUCUGUCUCUUAUUGCCGCCGGCUUCCCCCUCUCUAUUCCCUUAGAAUAGUUUAGUCAAAUAGGCAUACAACACGUUAUCAGCACGCUCUUGUCAAAAACUAAGAAACUGAAGGAUCGUAGAAGGAGGCUCUCUUCUACAAAAUUCAAAGGCUUCUAUUUGUUUUCUGCCAAUUAAGUACGCUUAAAAUAAAGUAAGAUAUUUGAAACAUCCACGAAGCAUGAAAACAUUCCCCAUGAUGCAUGAAAACAUUCCCCAUGAUGCAUGAACCCCUUAUAUUUAUAUUUUCCCUAU
RNAcentral lists this long non-coding RNA (1525 nucleotides) under Malus domestica (apple). RNAcentral's name for it is "long non-coding RNA (MDOM_LNC007383)". The record is from RNAcentral. Lineage: Eukaryota; Viridiplantae; Streptophyta; Magnoliopsida; Rosales; Rosaceae.